This 433-nucleotide ribosomal RNA is filed under the name uncultured bacterium. RNAcentral describes it as "partial 16S ribosomal RNA". It matches the Rfam family "Bacterial small subunit ribosomal RNA", at positions 29 to 507 of the family's 1533-position model. The record is from RNAcentral.
AACGAACGCUGGCGGCAUGCCUAACACAUGCAAGUCGAACGAGACGUUCGGGCCUGGUGGCGCAGGGGUGAGUAACUCGGGGGAACCUGCCCUUACUGUCCGUGUAUCUCCCCGAAAUGGGGGCUAAGACCGGUUAAUGUCUUCAGGCCAACGAUUUACCGGCGCUGGAUGGGGCCGGGUUGGAUUGGCUAGUUGGUAGGGUAAAAGCCUACCAAGGCGACGAUGCAUAGCUGGUCUGAGAGGAUGAUCAGCCACACUGGGACUGAGACACGGCCCAGACUCCUACGGGAGGCAGGAGUAGGGAAUAUUGGACAAUGGGCGCAAGCCUGAUCCAGCAAUGCCGCGUGAGUGAUGAAGGCCUUAGGGUUGUAAAGCUCUUUUACCCGGGAUGAUAAUGACGGUACCGGGAGAAUAAGCACCGGCUAACUACGUG